GAGUUUGAUCCUGGCUCAGGAUGAACGCUGGCGGUAUGCUUAACACAUGCAAGUCGAACGGGGGUAGAAAUUCCCUACUGGCGGACGGGUGACUCACGCGUGACCAUUCUUCCUACUGGAUGGUGAUAACAGAAGGAAAUCGCUGCUUCUACCCGAUGUGCCGAAAGGUGAUAGAUUAAUUACCUGUUAAGGAUCUCGCGUCCAAUUACCUGCUUGGGGGGGUAAAAGCCUACCGGGGCAUACGAUCGGUAGGUGGUCUUAGAGGACGAUCAUACACACGGGACCUGACACACUGGCUAUACUCAUACGGGAGGACUCCUUGGGGAAUUUUCCGCAAUGAGAAACAGCCUGUGGGAGAAAUACUGACUGAGGCAUGAAGGCUCUUGGGUUGUAGACCUCUUUUCUCUGGGAAGAGCAAAAUGAUGAUACCUGACUAAUACGCGUCCGCUAACUCAGUGCCCGCCAGCACGGUAAUAAAGAUGAAGCAAGCGUUAUCUCUAAUCAUUGGGUGUAAAGAGUCGGCAGGUGGCAGUUCAAGUAUGUCGUCAAAGAAAGGCAGCUCAUCAACCAAUAGCAGGUGGAAACUGAAGGGCAGGAGUGCAGUAGAGGUGAGAGGGAAUUGACCAGGGUAGCGGUGAAAUGAAGUAGAGAUAGUGAAGAACACAAGUGGUGAAAGCGAUCAGCUGGACUGCAACUGACACUCGUGGACGAAAGGUAAGGGAGGGAAUCGGACUAGAUACCACAGUAGUCUAAGGCGUAAAGGAUGUAUAGUAGGUGUGGCGUGUAUGGUCCCUGGACAUCCCGUACCUGACACGUUAAGUAUCCCCCCUGGGGAGUACGCGCGCAAGCGUGAAAAUUAAAAGAAUUGACGGGGGCUCGCCCCAGCGGUGGAGUAUGUGGUUUAAUUUGAUGCAACGGGAAGAACCUUAACAGGGCUUAACAUGUCAGGAAUCGUAAUCAAAGAGAGGAGUGCCAUCGAGAGUGCGAACCCAGGUGGUGCAUGGCUGUCGUCAGCUCGUGUCGUGAGAUGUUGGGUUAAGUCCCGCAACGAGCGCAACCC
Molecule: ribosomal RNA, 1060 nt
Filed under: uncultured bacterium
Lineage: Bacteria
Description: bacterial SSU rRNA
Rfam family: Bacterial small subunit ribosomal RNA
Source: RNAcentral